UACGGGGGGAGCAAGCGUUGUUCGGAUUUACUGGGCGUAAAGGGCGCGUAGGCGGUCGUGACAAGUCACUUGUGAAAUCUCCGGGCUUAACUCGGAACGGUCAAGUGAUACUGUCGGACUAGAGUACAGAAGGGGCAACUGGAAUUCUCGGUGUAGCGGUGAAAUGCGUAGAUAUCGAGAGGAAUACCAAAGGCGAAGGCAGGUCACUGGGCAGUUACUGACACUGAGGCACGAAGGCUAGGGGAGCAAACGGG
RNAcentral lists this ribosomal RNA (254 nucleotides) under uncultured bacterium. Its description in RNAcentral is "partial 16S ribosomal RNA". It matches the Rfam family "Bacterial small subunit ribosomal RNA", at positions 524 to 776 of the family's 1533-position model. The record is from RNAcentral.